GGAUGUGAGGGCGAUCCGGCUGUGACAUCUGUCGCCCCAGUGAUCACCAGGGUUGAUGCGGAUGAUCUGGCUGGCUAGGUGGGUGUCUUCUUCCCUCACCUCUCCAUGUGCGUCCCUCCCGAAGCUGCGUGCUCAGUGGAAGAGAAUGAUCAUCCCAGAUAGAAGGAGUAUACCGUUCUUUGGUCAAAGGUAUAAGAUAGCUGCGCUCCCCUGCUAGAACCUCCAAACAAGCUCAAGGUCCAUUUGCAGAAAGCAUGAAAUAGGCAAUUUUAUCAAGAUUCUAUGAACUACUGAAAUUCUUUAAGAAGAAUUC
Molecule: small nuclear RNA, 313 nt
Filed under: Pogona vitticeps (central bearded dragon)
Lineage: Eukaryota; Metazoa; Chordata; Lepidosauria; Squamata; Agamidae
Description: 7SK RNA (ENSPVIG00000007393.1)
Rfam family: 7SK RNA
About the family: 7SK was discovered as an abundant small nuclear RNA in the mid-70s but a possible function has only recently been suggested. Two independent studies have found that 7SK RNA binds the CDK9/cyclin T complex (known as elongation factor P-TEFb).
Source: Rfam by way of RNAcentral